UACGAAGGGGGCUAGCGUUGCUCGGAAUUACUGGGCGUAAAGCGCACGUAGGCGGCUUUCUAAGUCGGGGGUGAAAUCCUGGAGCUCAACUCCAGAACUGCCCUUCGAUACUGGAGAGCUUGAGUCCGGGAGAGGUGAGUGGAACUGCGAGUGUAGAGGUGAAAUCGUAGAUAUUCGCAAGAACACCGUGGCGAAGGCGG
RNAcentral lists this ribosomal RNA (200 nucleotides) under uncultured bacterium. Its description in RNAcentral is "partial 16S ribosomal RNA". It matches the Rfam family "Bacterial small subunit ribosomal RNA", at positions 524 to 724 of the family's 1533-position model. The record is from RNAcentral.